CCUCUUGGUAUAACGGUGUCUCACGGUAACCACGACAACGCCGACGGCGAAGGAAGAUACGGCUGUAUGGACGACAUUAGGUUGGAUGGAAGGGUGCUCCCACUGCCUCCAUCAGUGAAUGUCACACAGUGGGGACAAGCAACUGCAGCUCUGAAUGUGGAACAUGGCUGUGGCUACUCUGACUGCAGUACUGGUUUUUGCCAAGAACCACUAAUAUACGCCAGUGUGGUAGUGAAAGUACUACUUUGAAACCAGGAGCUGACGUUUGUAAUAAUCCCGAAAGUGCAAAAUGUCUCUAUCAACACUCAAAACUUAGUUACAAGUGUGUUUGCCCUGAUGAUGCAGAAGGCAAAAGGCAUGGAUUUCUACAAGAAAGGCACACAUUUUCUCUUGGUAUAUGGAUUCUGAUUGUGUCGCUAUCAGCAGCUAUCUUUGUGCUUGGUGCAAUGUUCAGUGGAUACAAAUAUCAAUGCAGUACCCAUGAAACAACUGAAGUAAAGAAUGAUGUUCAAGAAAAUGUGAUAUUUCACGCUGAUGAAGGAGGAGGGAAAGACGACACAGUCUCCUGUAGCAUGAAAGAGUUGAAAAUAUAUGUUGACAGGAUUGGGCCUACAGAAUCAGUGGAAAUGCACAAAUUUUCAGAGAUUCAACAGAAUUCUGAAGAAAUAUUAAAAAAUAUAAUAGAAAAACACAAAAGAGAAAUUGAUAUGAAAUUAAUCUCUGACAAUUUGGACCACACAUGUUGCUAUGACUUUGAAGGCAUUGCAGAAGCUUCUAGUUCUUUAUCCUCUUUGACCACAGAGUAUGAUGGCACAGAAAAGGAUUGCAAGGACUUCACAAAAAUUGCACAAGAUGUUACCAGAGUAUAAUACAAACACCUUGGCAGGACCAAUAAGUCUUGCACUCAAUGUGACACAUCUUACAGGGUUGAGUAAGAAACCCGCAGUGGUAGUAGACCAACUUCUCAAAAGUGACACUAAGGAUAGAAGUGUUCUAUCAUUCACAGACAAUUUCUUUGUAUAUAUACUCUCUGCUUGCUGCAGUGUUGUGAUAUUAUUUGAAAAAAAUCAAGACUUAACAUAUUUUUAUAAAUAACAAAUGUGAGCAUAUACAUAUACAUAUAUUUUUUAUCACUGACUUGUUGAUAUAACAUGUGUUUUCUGUUGAUGAAUGGAGAUUUAACUUCUCGUGAAAACAGAUUUUUUUACACAUAAAUAACU
RNA transcript from Schistocerca americana (American grasshopper), 1220 nucleotides. It is a transcript of the gene named neural-cadherin-like, with no coding region annotated. Lineage: Eukaryota; Metazoa; Arthropoda; Insecta; Orthoptera; Acrididae. The transcript has 6 exons. The record is from RefSeq and is a predicted model, not a curated record.